RNAcentral lists this ribosomal RNA (506 nucleotides) under soil fungal sp. DM232. RNAcentral's name for it is "eukaryotic LSU rRNA". It matches the Rfam family "Eukaryotic large subunit ribosomal RNA", at positions 146 to 657 of the family's 3401-position model. Lineage: Eukaryota; Fungi. The record is from RNAcentral.
UAGUCUAGAGAAGCAUCAUCCGUGCUGGACCAUGUACAAGUCUCUUGGAACAGAGCGUCAUAGAGGGUGAGAAUCCCGUCCUUGACAUGGACUCCCAGUGCUUUGUGUUGUGCUCUCAACGAGUCGAGUUGUUUGGGAAUGCAGCUCAAAAUGGGUGGUAAAUUCCAUCUAAAGCUAAAUAUUGGCGAGAGACCGAUAGCGAACAAGUACCGUGAGGGAAAGAUGAAAAGCACUUUGGAGAGAGAGUUAAACAGUACGUGAAAUUGUUGAAAUGGAAACGCUUGAAGUCAGUCGCGUUCUCUGGGAUUCAGCCUUGCUUCUGCUUGGUGCACUUCCUAGUUUACGGGCCAACAUGGAUUUUGACCGGUGGAAAAGGAUUUGGGGAAUGUGGCACCUCCGGGUGUGUUAUAGCCCCUUGUCGCAUACAUCGGUUGGGAUCGAGGUUUCAGUGCACGCUUCGGUUGUGCUUUGAUGCUGGCGUAAUGGCUUUAAACGACCCGUCUUGA